Molecule: long non-coding RNA, 383 nt
Organism: Eptesicus fuscus (big brown bat)
Lineage: Eukaryota; Metazoa; Chordata; Mammalia; Chiroptera; Vespertilionidae
Exons: 3
Source: RefSeq, a predicted model, not a curated record
UCACGCCUGCCUCCUCCCUCAAUGACCACCACCACAGCCCAUGCGUGCCUCCUCCACAGUGCCUCCCAACCGCUUCUCUCUUUUCUGCCCACCGCUGUGCCUGCUUGGUCUCCCACCUCUACCUUCCCCUCCUUUAACCACUUGCAUGUCCUGCUGGCUGUGUCUUCCUACACGAGGGACUGGGAGGAGUCAGAGAGAAGGAUGUGCAGUGGCAGGACAGUGACCAACAACAUCUGUCCUGGGAGUCUCUGCUCCAAACCCUGGAGCAAAACUCAGAACUCAAGGAAAAAGAAAACUUCCUCAGUAAAAAGAAUCAAAAACCAAAUGAAAACAAAACAAAGCAAGUUGAUUUCAUGUGAAAGGGCCGGCGGCAUCAUCAGGCC